UGACAUCCUCAGUGAACUUGCCUCCCUUACUUGCCCUGAGGCCCAGCUCCUGGAGGCUCAAGCCCUUGAGCCUCCUUCACCACAGCCUGAGCCGCAGCUCCUGGACCCCCAGCCCCGCUUCCUAGACCCACAAGCACUAGAGCCUCUAGGAGAAGGUUUGGAACUACCACCCCUGCAGCCUCUUGCGGAUCCUCUGGGACUGCCGAGCUUGACUCUGCAGGCCCUAGACACCCUACCUGACUCCUUGGAAUCCCAGCUCCUUGACCCUCAGGCCCUCGACCCCCUGCCCAAGUUGUUGGAUGUCCCUGGUCGACGUCUAGAGCCCCAGCAAUCCUUGGGACACUGCCAACUGGCUGAGCCCUUACGCCUGGACUUGU
This 377-nucleotide long non-coding RNA is filed under the name Rattus norvegicus (Norway rat). Its description in RNAcentral is "long non-coding RNA NONRATT022701". Lineage: Eukaryota; Metazoa; Chordata; Mammalia; Rodentia; Muridae. The record is from RNAcentral.